GGCAAGAGAAAGGGAAUCUUUUUCAUCAGUCUAUUGUGUUAGCCCUCAAAUGAAGAGGAGCUACCCUCCCUGAAAUGCGUUAUUCUGUUUCCAUAGCAGCAGACGGCUUCAUAUUUUGUGGCGGGGGGGGGGAGUUCUUACCUCAGACAAACUAUAUAGACCUAACAGCACAAUCUUCAUAUUCGAACCUUCAUUUAGAAUUCCACUGAGAAUAUUCCAAAAAUUAGGCAUAGUCUUACAUAUACCAAGCAAAAAUUGUGUGUUAGGUAUAAAAUUUAACACAAAAUUGUAUUUUAUGUAAAUUUCAGAAAUUCCACAAUUAAAUAAAAAAACAUUCUUAAUUUUUUCAAAUUUUUUUUAUAAUAUAUUCAAAUGAAUUAAAGAAAAUUAAUUAAAAUUUUCAUCAUAGUUUCAUGGCUGCUGAUUUAAAUAUUUAAAAAUACAAUCUGAGUUAACUUUUAGGAAAUCUUCAAAUAUGCUUAGGAAAUAACCCCACCCCUACUCUUACUGCGAAUAAUUCUAUCUGUUCCUCCAAAAAUAUUCUUUUCUCCUUCUUUAUCUUUAUAACAUAAAAUUGAAGCAACAGGAAAGUGCAAGGUAUAUAGAAUUAUCUGAAAAUUUUGUUUAACUUUGGUUUAUACUAAUGACUUUUUUAUACUUUGUAGUAUUCUGACAAUCCACUUUUUUAUAUUUGAUGAGAAACAAACAAAAGUUUAAGGAUGUUUUUUUUUAAUGAAAAUUAUUUAUAUCUUUCAAAAAGGAAGAAAAAUUUUUUUCUCUCUUUCAGAUCUUUAUUUUCACCAUUAUUGAUACUUAUUUUAACCAUUAUUGAUUUAAUGAUUACUUGCUUUUAUUCUUGUAAAAUUUCUGUUCUAUUAAAAUUUUGGACUAUUAAUGACCUAGUGGAAAAGAUGUUGUAUGAAAAAAACCACUUUUGUUUUGAAGCGGAAGAGAGUGACUUAAUUGAUGAAGGGAACAAUGCAAUUAUUGCAAGAUAUAUUUAUUACCUGAUGAAGAGAUAGAAGAACCCGACUUUUGACCACAGAUUGUGUAUUGUGAAAUAUUUAUAUAAUGAAGAUAUUUAUUAAAUGUUUGAUUUCUUUUUUACUUGAAUUAAAGUCUUUUUCUAUUAAUGGCUGAUUGUUUUUUUUUUAAUUGAUUCAGUUUCUUUGUAUGAGUGUUAUGCUUUGCUCAUUUUAAUUCAUUGUGUGAGUAACUCAUCAUUUUUAAAUUCAUCCCUUUUAUUGUUACAAAAGGAUACAAAAAUGAUCAUUUGUUUCUGGGUUUUAAAAAAAGUUUUUUAUACCAUGGAGGUUGAGGAUGUCUUAAACUGAUUUUUGACAGUAUACUUGAGAUUUUCUUCCAAAACUGUCCUAUAAUACUGUAAAUAAUCAAAAUAGGGUGUCCUAUAAUACUGUAAACAAUCAAAUAAUCAAAAACUUAUAACUUGGAAUAUUUUCUGAAUGGAUUUUUUUCUAAUAAAAAAUCAAUAUUAUUUCAUAUUUAGCUUUAAAUAUUUGUAUAUCAAGUAAAACAUAUUUUUAAGAAUACAUCUAUGAAUGUUUUAUUGCUAUUGUUUUAACUGUAAUGCUUCCUGGUAGCUGAGUGGUACUUUUAUGUACUGGUCCAGAGUUCAGACCACAGCCUUUCAUCUGUUCAUUGGGUCAAUAAAAUGUCAGGGAGAACAGGGAAAACCUAGAAUUAACAUGGAAUUUUAUUUUGACUUUAAAAAUCGAGGAACAUUGCAGUGAAGAGGUGAUAGUAACAACGGAGUGGAAGAAGUUAUGAAUGUUUCAGAUCUGUGGCGAUGUGUUAUAAUUGUAAAUCUAUAUAUUGUAUGAUAGUUGUAAAAUAAAUAAAACUUAAUAAAUCUUA
This is a non-coding RNA of Parasteatoda tepidariorum (common house spider), 1875 nucleotides long. Lineage: Eukaryota; Metazoa; Arthropoda; Arachnida; Araneae; Theridiidae. The record is from RefSeq and is a predicted model, not a curated record.